This 367-nucleotide unclassified non-coding RNA is filed under the name Hevea brasiliensis (rubber tree). Lineage: Eukaryota; Viridiplantae; Streptophyta; Magnoliopsida; Malpighiales; Euphorbiaceae. The record is from RNAcentral.
GGAGGAAACUGAAGAGAAAACAGGGUUGGAGCAUAUUGUAUUCGGCAUUGCAGCUUCUGCGAAGCUGUGGGAUAAACGGAAGGAUUAUAUAAAGUUAUGGUGGAAACCGGAGGAAGAAAUGAGAGGGAUUGUAUGGUUAGAUAAACCGGUGAAAACUUCGAAAGGUGACGGAGAAUCUCUGCCGGAGCUGAGAAUUUCCGGUGAUACUUCCCGGUUUGCUUAUAAAAACCGGCAGGGUCAUCGGUCUGCAAUACGGAUAUCGAGGAUUGUAUCGGAGACGUUGAGGUUGGGGAUGGAGAAUGUGAGGUGGUUUGUUAUGGGUGAUGAUGAUACUGUCUUUGUUACUGAUAAUUUAGUAAGGAUUUUG